This 439-nucleotide unclassified non-coding RNA is filed under the name Hevea brasiliensis (rubber tree). Lineage: Eukaryota; Viridiplantae; Streptophyta; Magnoliopsida; Malpighiales; Euphorbiaceae. The record is from RNAcentral.
CGCCCUUGGUCCCCCAUACAAAUUAACACAUGCAGCCUUAUCUAGCAUUGCUCGAAGGCUAUUCCCCUCCUUUAGACCCAUGAGCAGGUGAAAGUGAAGCAACCUCAUCAUUGCAGUACGGUCACCCUCAGUUUCAGGCAAAUGGAUGUGUACCUAGGAAUGUAUUGAAGUCAAUUGCACAUCAUAUCAUAAUAACUUCAAGACUGAAGUUAUAAAUAUCAAUACACCAUGUAAAUGGAUGGGGUAAUUGAAUCUAAAGGUAAUAAGCCUUCCUACUAGAUAUGGCCACAGGCUGGUUCAGGUCCGAUUCCGGGGCAGAACUGUCAGUUCGGCCAGCUUCAAAGUUCUGCACGAUUCUGGUUUAAACCUUUGGAUAUGCCAUUAUAUACAAAGAAACAGAAACAAAAGAUGACUUGCAAAGAUGCCUCACCAUGAAGUU